CCUACGGGAGGCAGCAGUGAGGAAUCUUGGACAAUGGGCGCGAGCCUGAACGAGCCACGUCGCGUGAAGGAUGACUGCCCUACGGGUUGUAAACUUCUUUUAUAAAGGAAUAAAGUGAGGCAAGUGUGCCUUUUUGUAUCUACUUUAUGUAAACGGAUCGGCUAACUUCGUGCCAGCAGACGCGGUAAUACGGUGGUUCCGAGCGUUAGCCGGAUUUAUUGGGUUUAAAGGGAGCGUAGAUGGGUUUUUAAGUCAGUUGUGAAAGUUUGCGGCUCAACCGGACAAGUGCAAUUGAUACUGGCAGUCUUGAGUGCAGUUGAGGUAGGCGGAAUUCGGGGUGUAGCGGUGAAAUGCUUAGAUAUCACGAAGAACUCCGAUUGCGAAGGCAGCUGACUAAACUGCCACUGACAUUGAUGCUCGAAAGUGUGGGUAGCAAACAGGAUUAGAUACCCCAGUAGUC
RNAcentral lists this ribosomal RNA (460 nucleotides) under uncultured bacterium. RNAcentral's name for it is "partial 16S ribosomal RNA". It matches the Rfam family "Bacterial small subunit ribosomal RNA", at positions 338 to 795 of the family's 1533-position model. The record is from RNAcentral.